Molecule: unclassified non-coding RNA, 222 nt
Filed under: Hevea brasiliensis (rubber tree)
Lineage: Eukaryota; Viridiplantae; Streptophyta; Magnoliopsida; Malpighiales; Euphorbiaceae
Source: RNAcentral
CCAAAUGGCAUCAUCUUAAUCUCCUUACUUCCUGCUAUAUCAAACACCUCUUCACUCCCCAUGAAUCUCUCAGGCUUGAAUGCCAUUGGAUCCUCCCACACCUUUGGAUCCCGACCAAUCAUCUGCUACCAUGAAAUUUAUAGUCCCAUUUUUGGGCACUAAAUAGUUACCCAACAUUGCAUCUUCAGUCACUGCAUGUGGCAGCACAAAAUGCCCUGGUGG